RNAcentral lists this ribosomal RNA (464 nucleotides) under uncultured bacterium. Its description in RNAcentral is "bacterial SSU rRNA". It matches the Rfam family "Bacterial small subunit ribosomal RNA", at positions 28 to 453 of the family's 1533-position model. The record is from RNAcentral.
GAUGAACGCUGGCGGCGUGCCUAAUACAUGCAAGUCGAACGCAUUGUGGUUGAAAUGAUAUGAAGAACUUGUUCAGAUUUGAUUUUCAACAUUGCAAUGAGUGGCGAACGGGUGAGUAACACGUGGGAAACCUACCUCUUAGCAGGGGAUAACAUUCGGAAACAAAUGCUAAUACCGUAUAAUAAUUAAAACCGCAUGGUUUUUAGUUUAAAAGAUGGUCUUGCUAUCACUAAGAGAUGGUCCCGCGGUGUAUUAGUUAGUUGGUGAGGUAAUGGCUCACCAAGACAAUGAUACAUAGCCGAGUUGAGAGACUGACCGGCCACAAUGGGACUGAGACACGGCCCAUACUCCUACGGGAGGCAGCGGUAGGGAAUCUUCCACAAUGGACGAAAGUCUGAUGGAGCAACGCCGCGUGUGUGAUGAAGGGUUUCGGCUGUAAAACACUGUUGUAAGAGAAGAAUGAC